CGCACAUUGCGCCCUUCGGCUAUUCCGUAGGGCAUGCCUGUUCGAGCGUCAUUAAAACCUCAAGCAAUGCUUGGUGCUGGGCUGCCUGUCCGCCUAUAAUUAGACUGACUCGCCCUAAAUUAAUUGGCAACUAGAUUUUGAAAUUUAAGCGCAGUAGAACUAGCGGUUUAAAUUUGAAAUGCUAGAUAUCCAGCAGAAUACUAUUAAUCUUGACCUCGGAUCAGGUAGGGAUACCCGCUGAACUUAA
This 247-nucleotide unclassified non-coding RNA is filed under the name fungal sp. Its description in RNAcentral is "partial contains 5.8S ribosomal RNA, internal transcribed spacer 2, and large subunit ribosomal RNA". The record is from RNAcentral. Lineage: Eukaryota; Fungi.